UCCAGGAAAAGCCUCUAAGCAUCAGGUAACAUCAAAUCGUACCCCAAACCGACACAGGUGGUCAGGUAGAGAAUACCAAGGCGCUUGAGAGAACUCGGGUGAAGGAACUAGGCAAAAUGGUGCCGUAACUUCGGGAGAAGGCACGCUGAUAUGUAGGUGAAGUCCCUCGCGGAUGGAGCUGAAAUCAGUCGAAGAUACCAGCUGGCUGCAACUGUUUAUUAAAAACACAGCACUGUGCAAACACGAAAGUGGACGUAUACGGUGUGACGCCUGCCCGGUGCCGGAAGGUUAAUUGAUGGGGUCAGCGCAAGCGAAGCUCUUGAUCGAAGCCCCGGUAAACGGCGGCCGUAACUAUAACGGUCCUAAGGUAGCGAAAUUCCUUGUCGGGUAAGUUCCGACCUGCACGAAUGGCGUAAUGAUGGCCAGGCUGUCUCCACCCGAGACUCAGUGAAAUUGAACUCGCUGUGAAGAUGCAGUGUACCCGCGGCAAGACGGAAAGACCCCGUGAACCUUUACUAUAGCUUGACACUGAACAUUGAGCCUUGAUGUGUAGGAUAGGUGGGAGGCUUGGAAGUGUGGACGCCAGUCUGCAUGGAGCCGACCUUGAAAUACCACCCUUUAAUGUUUGAUGUUCUAACGUUGACCCGUAAUCCGGGUUGCGGACAGUGUCUGGUGGGUAGUUUGACUGGGGCGGUCUCCUCCUAAAGAGUAACGGAGGAGCACGAAGGUUGGCUAAUCCUGGUCGGACAUCAGGAGGUUAGUGCAAUGGCAUAAGCCAGCUUGACUGCGAGCGUGACGGCGCGAGCAGGUGCGAAAGCAGGUCAUAGUGAUCCGGUGGUUCUGAAUGGAAGGGCCAUCGCUCAACGGAUAAAAGGUACUCCGGGGAUAACAGGCUGAUACCGCCCAAGAGUUCAUAUCGACGGCGGUGUUUGGCACCUCGAUGUCGGCUCAUCACAUCCUGGGGCUGAAGUAGGUCCCAAGGGUAUGGCUGUUCGCCAUUUAAAGUGGUACGCGAGCUGGGUUUAGAACGUCGUGAGACAGUUCGGUCCCUAUCUGCCGUGGGCGCUGGAGAACUGAGGGGGGCUGCUCCUAGUACGAGAGGACCGGAGUGGACGCAUCACUGGUGUUCGGGUUGUCAUGCCAAUGGCACUGCCCGGUAGCUAAAUGCGGAAGAGAUAAGUGCUGAAAGCAUCUAAGCACGAAACUUGCCCCGAGAUGAGUUCUCCCUGACUCCUUGAGAGUCCUGAAGGAACGUUGAAGACGACGACGUUGAUAGGCCGGGUGUGUAAGCGCAGCGAUGCGUUGAGCUAACCGGUACUAAUGAACCGUGAGG
This 1333-nucleotide ribosomal RNA is filed under the name Escherichia coli. RNAcentral describes it as "partial 23S ribosomal RNA". It matches the Rfam family "Bacterial large subunit ribosomal RNA", at positions 1607 to 2916 of the family's 2925-position model. Lineage: Bacteria; Pseudomonadati; Pseudomonadota; Gammaproteobacteria; Enterobacterales; Enterobacteriaceae. The record is from RNAcentral.